CUAUCAGCUUGUUGGUGGAGGUAAUGGCUCCACCAAGGCGUCGACGGGUAGCCGGCCUGAGAGGGUGACCGACCACACUGGGACUGAGACACGGCCCAGACUCCUACGGGAGGCAGCAGUGGGGAAUAUUGCACAAUGGGCGCAAGCCUGAUGCAGCAACGCCGCGUGAGGGAUGACGGCCUUCGGGUUGUAAACCUCUUUUAGCAGGGAAGAAGCGAAAGUGACGGUACCUGCAGAAAAAGCGCCGGCUAACUACGUGCCAGCAGCCGCGGUAAUACGUAGGGCGCAAGCGUUAUCCGGAAUUAUUGGGCGUAAAGAGCUCGUAGGCGGUUUGUCGCGUCUGCUGUGAAAUCCGGAGGCUCAACCUCCGGCCUGCAGUGGGUACGGGCAGACUAGAGUGCGGUAGGGGAGAUUGGAAUUCCUGGUGUAGCGGUGGAAUGCGCAGAUAUCAGGAGGAACACCGAUGGCGAAGGCAGAUCUCUGGGCCGUAACUGACGCUGAGGAGCGAAAGGGUGGGGAGCAAACAGGCUUAGAUACCCUGGUAGUCCACCCCGUAAACGUUGGGAACUAGUUGUGGGGUCCAUUCCACGGAUUCCGUGACGCAGCUAACGCAUUAAGUUCCCCGCCUGGGGAGUACGGCCGCAAGGCUAAAACUCAAAGGAAUUGACGGGGACCCGCACAAGCGGCGGAGCAUGCGGAUUAAUUCGAUGCAACGCGAAGAACCUUACCAAGGCUUGACAUAUACGAGAACGGGCCAGAAAUGGUCAACUCUUUGGACACUCGUAAACAGGUGGUGCAUGGUUGUCGUCAGCUCGUGUCGUGAGAUGUUGGGUUAAGUCCCGCAACGAGCGCAACCCUCGUUCUAUGUUGCCAGCACGUAAUGGUGGGAACUCAUGGGAUACUGCCGGGGUCAACUCGGAGGAAGGUGGGGAUGACGUCAAAUCAUCAUGCCCCUUAUGUCUUGGGCUUCACGCAUGCUACAAUGGCCCGGUACAAAGGGCUGCAAU
RNAcentral lists this ribosomal RNA (1007 nucleotides) under Microbacterium saperdae. RNAcentral's name for it is "bacterial SSU rRNA". It matches the Rfam family "Bacterial small subunit ribosomal RNA", at positions 238 to 1253 of the family's 1533-position model. Lineage: Bacteria; Bacillati; Actinomycetota; Actinomycetes; Micrococcales; Microbacteriaceae. The record is from RNAcentral.